AUGUUCAGGUCUUCAGUUCGUUCCAAUUGUCUCUGUUUGAUGCACCUCCUCUUCCCCCAANCUUCACUUUUAGAAUUUGUUUUGUUUACUGAUACUGUUCUUUGUGCUCACAAAAAAUGCAGGUGUUCUGUUGGAUUAGAAAGUUUAGGAAUUAACCAUUUGGAAGGUGAUCCACUGGUUUCUAUGUUUCCAAUCUAUACAGUACCUCUUGCUGCUCCCCUGAGCAAUUAUUUGACCAUUCACCAAUAUUAUACUACAUACUUUGUACUCCGGUCCAAUGUUAUCCCAUGUACAGAUUUGUUCUUUGUCUAA
Molecule: ribosomal RNA, 312 nt
Filed under: Triticum aestivum (bread wheat)
Lineage: Eukaryota; Viridiplantae; Streptophyta; Magnoliopsida; Poales; Poaceae
Description: partial small subunit ribosomal RNA
Source: RNAcentral